UUUAUUGGAGAGUUUGAUCCUGGCUCAGGAUGAACGCUGGCGGCGUGCCUAAUACAUGCAAGUCGAGCGAAUGGAUUGAGAGCUUGCUCUCAAGAAGUUAGCGGCGGACGGGUGAGUAACACGUGGGUAACCUGCCCAUAAGACUGGGAUAACUCCGGGAAACCGGGGCUAAUACCGGAUAACAUUUUGAACUGCAUGGUUCGAAAUUGAAAGGCGGCUUCGGCUGUCACUUAUGGAUGGACCCGCGUCGCAUUAGCUAGUUGGUGAGGUAACGGCUCACCAAGGCAACGAUGCGUAGCCGACCUGAGAGGGUGAUCGGCCACACUGGGACUGAGACACGGCCCAGACUCCUACGGGAGGCAGCAGUAGGGAAUCUUCCGCAAUGGACGAAAGUCUGACGGAGCAACGCCGCGUGAGUGAUGAAGGCUUUCGGGUCGUA
RNAcentral lists this ribosomal RNA (439 nucleotides) under Bacillus cereus. Its description in RNAcentral is "bacterial SSU rRNA". It matches the Rfam family "Bacterial small subunit ribosomal RNA", at positions 1 to 427 of the family's 1533-position model. Lineage: Bacteria; Bacillati; Bacillota; Bacilli; Caryophanales; Bacillaceae. The record is from RNAcentral.